Molecule: long non-coding RNA, 481 nt
Organism: Stylophora pistillata
Lineage: Eukaryota; Metazoa; Cnidaria; Anthozoa; Scleractinia; Pocilloporidae
Source: RefSeq, a predicted model, not a curated record
AUCUUCAUAUGCGAGGCGUCUUGAGCCGGAAAGGAGUCAGUUCGUGAGUGAAGCUAGUACAAGCAAGAUGAAAACCGCGGUGUUGUUGGUACUGCUCCUUUCUUUGGUUUUGGUCGAAGGAGGGAUUUAUCAAAAAAUAGCUAAAACUCCAAAGCCGGCAGCAGAAAUCUUGAAGAUGAACGACCGCAGAAGCUUUAAAGAGUCUCAACAGGUGGUUCAGUACCGAAGAGACAUCUGCUUACAGGCCCGUGAGCUGGGAUGUGAGGUGGAACGAAAGAAAUGAAUUGACUUGAACUGAAGACAGCACAGCAUACCAUAAUUUAACGUUCGACUGCAUUAUGAAAUGAUUAAAUUGAAGUAUAGAUUGUUUUUGUUGUAAAAAUAAAUUGCUUUAAUCCAAAAGAGGUUGUGUUCUUUACGAUGAAUAUAUAUUGGUUACAAUGUUUUUAAAAUAAAGUUUGUGGAUGAUAUGAUGGAAAAA